RNAcentral lists this ribosomal RNA (465 nucleotides) under Vreelandella stevensii. RNAcentral describes it as "partial 16S ribosomal RNA". It matches the Rfam family "Bacterial small subunit ribosomal RNA", at positions 338 to 795 of the family's 1533-position model. The record is from RNAcentral. Lineage: Bacteria; Pseudomonadati; Pseudomonadota; Gammaproteobacteria; Oceanospirillales; Halomonadaceae.
CCUACGGGCGGCAGCAGUGGGGAAUAUUGGACAAUGGGCGAAAGCCUGAUCCAGCCAUGCCGCGUGUGUGAAGAAGGCCUUCGGGUUGUAAAGCACUUUCAGUGGGGAAGAAAGCCUUGGGGCUAAUACCCUCGAGGAAGGACAUCACCCACAGAAGAAGCACCGGCUAACUCCGUGCCAGCAGCCGCGGUAAUACGGAGGGUGCGAGCGUUAAUCGGAAUUACUGGGCGUAAAGCGCGCGUAGGCGGUCUGAUAAGCCGGUUGUGAAAGCCCCGGGCUCAACCUGGGAACGGCAUCCGGAACUGUCAGGCUAGAGUGCAGGAGAGGAAGGUAGAAUUCCCGGUGUAGCGGUGAAAUGCGUAGAGAUCGGGAGGAAUACCAGUGGCGUAGGCGGCCUUCUGGACUGACACUGACGCUGAGGUGCGAAAGCGUGGGUAGCAAACAGGAUUAGAUACCCGUGUAGUC